Molecule: non-coding RNA, 68 nt
Organism: Caenorhabditis brenneri
Lineage: Eukaryota; Metazoa; Nematoda; Chromadorea; Rhabditida; Rhabditidae
Source: the annotation of a GenBank genome assembly
GCCGAUUGGCGCAGUGGGCAGUGAAGAUGGCUAUGAAACACUCGGUCGGGGUUCAAACCCCUGCGGUG